GACCCAGUGGUGCAAUGUCCAGCACAUCUGUACAAUUUGAGAAUCCGCUGAGUGUUCUGCAGGAGCUCCCUGUUCGAGCCAGGGCUGGGUCA
Molecule: non-coding RNA, 92 nt
Organism: Mycena rebaudengoi
Lineage: Eukaryota; Fungi; Basidiomycota; Agaricomycetes; Agaricales; Mycenaceae
Source: the annotation of a GenBank genome assembly